GUUUAAGUAGCAAAGAAGUAAUGCCUCAGGUUUAGGUCCUGUUAUCAAGGGUGCAAUUCCUUUCUUAAACU
This 71-nucleotide transfer RNA is filed under the name Holothuria spinifera. RNAcentral describes it as "tRNA-Leu". It matches the Rfam family "tRNA". From Rfam's summary of the family: Transfer RNA (tRNA) molecules are approximately 80 nucleotides in length. Their secondary structure includes four short double-helical elements and three loops (D, anti-codon, and T loops). Further hydrogen bonds mediate the characteristic L-shaped molecular structure. tRNAs have two regions of fundamental functional importance: the anti-codon, which is responsible for specific mRNA codon recognition, and the 3' end, to which the tRNAs corresponding amino acid is attached (by aminoacyl-tRNA synthetases). tRNAs cope with the degeneracy of the genetic code in two manners: having more than one tRNA (with a specific anti-codon) for a particular amino acid; and 'wobble' base-pairing, i.e. permitting non-standard base-pairing at the 3rd anti-codon position. Lineage: Eukaryota; Metazoa; Echinodermata; Holothuroidea; Aspidochirotida; Holothuriidae. The record is from RNAcentral.